UCUGCUCGGCCUUGGUAACUCCCACUACGGGUCUUCGACUCAGGACACAAAAUUCUGGCUCUUGGCACAGAAGAAUAUCAUUUGGAAUCAUCCACCAGCCGAAACGGACAGCAACAGGGGAAGAGUUGAAGAAAAAGCAAACAGAAAACUCAUCGAUCUCCGGCUCAAUGAACUCCGUGCUGGCCUGUCAACUUCUUGUAGGGCUGAGUAAAUUUUCCAAGCCGUCGAUAUCCCAAACGCCUAAACGCCCCCCAAAAGUAACGGCAAAGCAUCAAAGCGACCCAGUAGGAAUCUAACUCCAGGGAGUAAACAUCGAAGCC
RNAcentral lists this small RNA (320 nucleotides) under Histoplasma capsulatum. RNAcentral's name for it is "hypothetical RNA". The record is from RNAcentral. Lineage: Eukaryota; Fungi; Ascomycota; Eurotiomycetes; Onygenales; Ajellomycetaceae. RNAcentral also lists the same sequence under 1 other name.